This 521-nucleotide ribosomal RNA is filed under the name uncultured bacterium. Its description in RNAcentral is "bacterial SSU rRNA". It matches the Rfam family "Bacterial small subunit ribosomal RNA", at positions 8 to 518 of the family's 1533-position model. The record is from RNAcentral.
AGAGUUUGAUCCUGGCUCAGGAUGAACGCUAGCUACAGGCUUAACACAUGCAAGUCGAGGGGCAGCAUGAUCGAAGCUUGCUUUGAUUGAUGGCGACCGGCGCACGGGUGAGUAACGCGUAUCCAACCUUCCCUGUAGUAGAGAAUAGCCCGGCGAAAGUCGGAUUAAUGCUCUAUGUUGUAUUUCGAUGACAUCUGAAGAAUACCAAAGGUUUACCGCUAUAGGAUGGGGAUGCGUCUGAUUAGGUUGUUGGCGGGGUAACGGCCCACCAAGCCGACGAUCAGUAGGGGUUCUGAGAGGAAGGUCCCCCACAUUGGAACUGAGACACGGUCCAAACUCCUACGGGAGGCAGCAGUGAGGAAUAUUGGUCAAUGGACGGAAGUCUGAACCAGCCAAGUAGCGUGCAGGAUGACGGCCCUAUGGGUUGUAAACUGCUUUUAUAUAGGGAUAAAGUCGGGGACGUGUCCCCGUUUGUAGGUACUAUAUGAAUAAGGACCGGCUAAUUCCGUGCCAGCAGCAGC